AGACCCGAAACCCGGUGAUCUAGCCAUGGGCAGGUUGAAGGUUGGGUAACACUAACUGGAGGACCGAACCGACUAAUGUUGAAAAAUUAGCGGAUGACCUGUGGCUGGGGGUGAAAGGCCAAUCAAACCGGGAGAUAGCUGGUUCUCCCCGAAAGCUAUUUAGGUAGCGCCUCGUGAAUUCAUCUCCGGGGGUAGAGCACUGUUUCGGCUAGGGGGCCAUCCCGGCUUACCAACCCGAUGCAAACUGCGAAUACCGGAGAAUGUUAUCACGGGAGACACACGGCGGGUGCUAACGUCCGUCGUGAAGAGGGAAACAACCCAGACCGCCAGCUAAGGUCCCAAAGUCAUGGUUAAGUGGGAAACGAUGUGGGAAGGCCCAGACAGCCAGGAUGUUGGCUUAGAAGCAGCCAUCAUUUAAAGAAAGCGUAAUAGCUCACUGGUCGAGUCGGCCUGCGCGGAAGAUGUAACGGGGCUAAACCAUGCACCGAAGCUGCGGCAGCGAACGUAUCACCCAAGACAACUUUACGGAGUUGACGAUUGACGGAGCGAAGCGACGUCAAAGCGUUCAUUAAAGUCGAGUUGGCUUAGGGAUACGUUCGUUGGGUAGGGGAGCGUUCUGUAAGCCUGUGAAGGUGUGUCGUGAGGCAUGCUGGAGGUAUCAGAAGUGCGAAUGCUGACAUAAGUAACGAUAAAGCGGGUGAAAAGCCCGCUCGCCGGAAGACCAAGGGUUCCUGUCCAACGUUAAUCGGGGCAGGGUGAGUCGACCCCUAAGGCGAGGCCGAAAGGCGUAGUCGAUGGGAAACGGGUUAAUAUUCCCGUACUUGGUGUUACUGCGAAGGGGGGACGGAGAAGGCUAUGUUGGCCGGGCGACGGUUGUCCCGGUUUAAGCGUGUAGGUGUGUGUUCCAGGUAAAUCCGGUUCACUUUAACACUGAGGCGUGACGACGAGGCACUACGGUGCUGAAGCAACAAAUGCCCUGCUUCCAGGAAAAGCCUCUAAGCAUCAGGUAACAUCAAAUCGUACCCCAAACCGACACAGGUGGUCAGGUAGAGAAUACCAAGGCGCUUGAGAGAACUCGGGUGAAGGAACUAGGCAAAAUGGUGCCGUAACUUCGGGAGAAGGCACGCUGACACGUAGGUGAAGUGAUUUACUCAUGGAGCUGAAGUCAGUCGAAGAUACCUGCUGGCUGCAACUGUUUAUUAAAAACACAGCACUGUGCAAACACGAAAGUGGACGUAUACGGUGUGACGCCUGCCCGGUGCCGGAAGGUUAAUUGAUGGGGUCAGCGUAAGCGAAGCUCCUGAUCGAAGCCCCGGUAAACGGCGGCCGUAACUAUAACGGUCCUAAGGUAGCGAAAUUCCUUGUCGGGUAAGUUCCGACCUGCACGAAUGGCGUAAUGAUGGCCAGGCUGUCUCCACCCGAGACUCAGUGAAAUUGAACUCGCUGUGAAGAUGCAGUGUACCCGCGGCAAGACGGAAAGACCCCGUGAACCUUUACUAUAGCUUGACACUGAACAUUGAGCCUUGAUGUGUAGGAUAGGUGGGAGGCUUUGAAGUGUGGACGCCAGUCUGCAUGGAGCCGACCUUGAAAUACCACCCUUUAAUGUUUGAUGUUCUAACGUGGACCCGUAAUCCGGGUUGCGGACAGUGUCUGGUGGGUAGUUUGACUGGGGCGGUCUCCUCCUAAAGAGUAACGGAGGAGCACGAAGGUUGGCUAAUCCUGGUCGGACAUCAGGAGGUUAGUGCAAUGGCAUAAGCCAGCUUGACUGCGAGCGUGACGGCGCGAGCAGGUGCGAAAGCAGGUCAUAGUGAUCCGGUGGUUCUGAAUGGAAGGGCCAUCGCUCAACGGAUAAAAGGUACUCCGGGGAUAACAGGCUGAUACCGCCCAAGAGUUCAUAUCGACGGCGGUGUUUGGCACCUCGAUGUCGGCUCAUCACAUCCUGGGGCUGAAGUAGGUCCCAAGGGUAUGGCUGUUCGCCAUUUAAAGUGGUACGCGAGCUGGGUUUAGAACGUCGUGAGACAGUUCGGUCCCUAUCUGCCGUGGGCGCUGGAGAACUGAGGGGGGCUGCUCCUAGUACGAGAGGACCGGAGUGGACGCAUCACUGGUGUUCGGGUUGUCAUGCCAAUGGCACUGCCCGGUAGCUAAAUGCGGAAGAGAUAAGUGCUGAAAGCAUCUAAGCACGAAACUUGCCCCGAGAUGAGUUCUCCCUGAGACUUAGAGUCUCCUGAAGGAACGUUGAAGACGACGACGUUGAUAGGCCGGGUGUGUAAGCGCAGCGAUGCGUUGAGCUAACCGGUACUAAUGAACCGUGAGGCUUAACCUUACA
This 2326-nucleotide ribosomal RNA is filed under the name Salmonella enterica. Its description in RNAcentral is "partial 23S ribosomal RNA". It matches the Rfam family "Bacterial large subunit ribosomal RNA", at positions 711 to 2925 of the family's 2925-position model. Lineage: Bacteria; Pseudomonadati; Pseudomonadota; Gammaproteobacteria; Enterobacterales; Enterobacteriaceae. The record is from RNAcentral.